This 274-nucleotide ribosomal RNA is filed under the name uncultured bacterium. Its description in RNAcentral is "partial 16S ribosomal RNA". It matches the Rfam family "Bacterial small subunit ribosomal RNA", at positions 523 to 796 of the family's 1533-position model. The record is from RNAcentral.
AUACGGAGGGUGCGAGCGUUAAUCGGAAUUACUGGGCGUAAAGCGCGCGUAGGCGGUUAGAUAAGUCUGAUGUGAAAGCCCUGGGCUCAACCUGGGAAUGGCAUUGGAUACUGUUUAACUAGAGUGCAGGAGAGGAGAGUGGAAUUCUCGGUGUAGCGGUGAAAUGCGUAGAUAUCGGGAGGAACACCAGUGGCGAAGGCGGCUCUCUGGACUGACACUGACGCUGAGGUGCGAAAGCGCGGGUAGCGAACAGGAUUAGAUACCCCGGUAGUCC